This 310-nucleotide ribosomal RNA is filed under the name uncultured bacterium. RNAcentral's name for it is "bacterial SSU rRNA". It matches the Rfam family "Bacterial small subunit ribosomal RNA", at positions 772 to 1079 of the family's 1533-position model. The record is from RNAcentral.
ACUAAAUAGAUACCCGGGUAGUCCACGCCGUAAACGUUGGAUACUAGGUGUGGGAGGUUUUCUACCCCUUCCGUGCCGCAGCUAAACGCAUUAAAGUAUCCCGCCUGGGGAGUACGGUCGCAAGACUGAAACUCAAAGGAAUUGACGGGGCCCGCACAAGCGGUGGAGCAUGCGGUUUAAUUCGACGCAACGCGAAGAACCUUACCCGGGCUUGACAUCACCGUAAGGAACCGUGGCUCUCUGGAAACAGGGAGUCUUAGGUAGACAGGUGUUGCAUGGCUGUCGUCAGCUCGUGUCGUGAGAUGUUGGG